This 301-nucleotide ribosomal RNA is filed under the name uncultured bacterium. RNAcentral's name for it is "partial 16S ribosomal RNA". It matches the Rfam family "Bacterial small subunit ribosomal RNA", at positions 509 to 807 of the family's 1533-position model. The record is from RNAcentral.
CAGUAGCCGCGGUAAUACGAAGGGGGCUAGCGUUGUUCGGAAUUACUGGGCGUAAAGCGCACGCAGGCGGCUCGAUAAAUUAGAAGUGAAAGCCUUGGGCUUAACCUGAGAAUUGCUUUUAAGACUGUCGGGCUAGAAUCCAGAAGAGGGUAGUGGAAUUCCGAGUGUAGAGGUGAAAUUCGUAGAUAUUCGGAAGAACACCAGUGGCGAAGGCGACUACCUGGUCUGGCAUUGACGCUCAUGUGCGAAAGCGUGGGGAGCAAACAGGAUUAGAGACCCCCGUAGUCCCUGUCUCUUAUAC